UGGGAAGUAUUGCACAAUGGGAAACCGGUAGCAUGCAGCGACGCCGCGUGAGCGAUGAAGUAUUUCGGUAUGUAAAGCUCUAUCAGCAGGGAAGAAAAUGGCGGUACCUGACUAAGAAGCCCCGGCUAACUACGUGCCAGCAGCCGCGGUAAUACGUAGGUGGCAAGCGUUAUCCGGAAUCAUUGGGCGUAAAGGGUGCGUAGGUGGCACGAUAAGUCUGAAGUAAAAGGCAACAGCUCAACUGUUGUAUGCUUUGGAAACUGUCGAGCUAGAGUGCAGAAGAGGGCGAUGGAAUUCCAUGUGUAGCGGUAAAAUUGCGUAGAUAUAUGGAGGAACACCAGUGGCGAAGGCGGCUUACUGGACGGUGACUGACGUUGAGGCUCGAAAGCGUGGGGAGCAAACAGGAUUAGAUACCC
This 416-nucleotide ribosomal RNA is filed under the name uncultured bacterium. RNAcentral's name for it is "bacterial SSU rRNA". It matches the Rfam family "Bacterial small subunit ribosomal RNA", at positions 355 to 787 of the family's 1533-position model. The record is from RNAcentral.